GAUGAACGCUGACAGAAUGCUUAACACAUGCAAGUCAUUGGCGAAGCUGCGCUUGCGCAGUCUAGCCAAGGCGGACGGGUGAGUAACGCGUAAGGAACUUGCCCUGCAGACAGGGAUAACAGACGGAAACGACUGAUAACACCUGGUAUUGUCAGGCUGGCGCAUGCCGGCCUGAUGAAAGGAGACGCUGCAGGAGAGCCUUGCGUCCUAUUAGCUAGUUGGUGGGGUAACGGCCCACCAAGGCGAUGAUAGGUAGCCGGCCUGAGAGGGGGAACGGCCACAAGGGGACUGAGAUGCGGCACUUACGACUACGGGGGGCAGCAGGGGGGAAUAUUGGACAAUGGGGGCAACCCUGAUGCAGCAAUUCUGUGUGCACGAAGAAGGUUUUCGGAUUGUAAAGUGCUUUCAGCAGGGAAGAAGAAAGUGACGGUACCUGCAGAAGAAGCGACGGCUAAAUACGUG
RNAcentral lists this ribosomal RNA (462 nucleotides) under uncultured bacterium. Its description in RNAcentral is "partial 16S ribosomal RNA". It matches the Rfam family "Bacterial small subunit ribosomal RNA", at positions 28 to 507 of the family's 1533-position model. The record is from RNAcentral.